RNAcentral lists this long non-coding RNA (284 nucleotides) under Rattus norvegicus (Norway rat). RNAcentral's name for it is "long non-coding RNA NONRATT017831". The record is from RNAcentral. Lineage: Eukaryota; Metazoa; Chordata; Mammalia; Rodentia; Muridae.
AGAGACUCGCCAUGAGGCAGCUAGCUAGCUGUCCCUGACCGCAGGAGAGAAGGUGGUUUUGCUGUGGGCACAUUGGUCUUCAAUACGAUCCUCCUGUCUCAGCCUCCCAGAGUGACCUGUCUACAUGAUUAAUUUCACUCCUUGACAAGUACAAACGUGAGUAGAGCAGCUUGUGAACUUAAUUCCCCAAACCAGGAAGGUGGAGACCUAGGAUAUUGUGUGGCUGCUGAAAGAGCUCUACAUCAGCAUCUGUAUGUAUCCCUUCAAUAAACAUGUGCUGUGAA